Molecule: ribosomal RNA, 305 nt
Filed under: uncultured bacterium
Lineage: Bacteria
Description: bacterial SSU rRNA
Rfam family: Bacterial small subunit ribosomal RNA
Source: RNAcentral
GCCCUACGGGGCGCAGCAGUGGGGAAUAUUGCGCAAUGGGGGGAACCCUGACGCAGCAACGCCGCGUGCAGGAAGGAGGUCUUCGGAUUGUGAACUGUUGUCGCAGGGGAAGAAGACAGUGACGGUACCCUGUGAGAAAGUCACGGCUAACUACGUGCCAGCAGCCGCGGUAAUACGUAGGGAGCAAGCGUUAUCCGGAUUUACUGGGUGUAAAGGGCGUGUAGGCGGGCAUGCAAGCCAGAAGUGAAAUCUGGGGGCUUAACCCCCAAACUGCUUUUGGAACUGCGUGUCUUGAGUGUUGGAUG